RNAcentral lists this ribosomal RNA (84 nucleotides) under Sanionia uncinata. Its description in RNAcentral is "partial 5.8S ribosomal RNA". The stretch from base 18 to 84 matches the Rfam family "5.8S ribosomal RNA", at positions 1 to 67 of the family's 154-position model. Rfam says of the family: 5.8S ribosomal RNA (5.8S rRNA) is a component of the large subunit of the eukaryotic ribosome. It is transcribed by RNA polymerase I as part of the 45S precursor that also contains 18S and 28S rRNA. Functionally, it is thought that 5.8S rRNA may be involved in ribosome translocation. The record is from RNAcentral. Lineage: Eukaryota; Viridiplantae; Streptophyta; Bryopsida; Hypnales; Amblystegiaceae.
GAAACAUAACCAAAAACAACUCUCAGCAACGGAUAUCUUGGCUCUUGCAACGAUGAAGAACGCAGCGAAAUGCGAUACGUAGUG